UACGGAGGGGGCUAGCGUUGUUCGGAAUUACUGGGCGUAAAGCGCACGUAGGCGGCUUUGUAAGUUAGAGGUGAAAGCCCAGGGCUUAACCCUGGAAUUGCCUUUAAGACUGCAUCGCUAGAAUUGUGGAGAGGUAAGUGGAAUUCCGAGUGUAGAGGUGAAAUUCGUAGAUAUUCGGAAGAACACCAGUGGCGAAGGCGACUUACUGGCCCGGUACUGACGCUGAGGUGCGAAAGCGUGGGGAGCAAACAGG
RNAcentral lists this ribosomal RNA (253 nucleotides) under uncultured bacterium. Its description in RNAcentral is "partial 16S ribosomal RNA". It matches the Rfam family "Bacterial small subunit ribosomal RNA", at positions 524 to 776 of the family's 1533-position model. The record is from RNAcentral.